CCUACGGGUGGCUGCAGUGAGGAAUAUUGGUCAAUGGACGAGAGUCUGAACCAGCCAAGUAGCGUGAAGGAUGACUGCCCUAUGGGUUGUAAACUUCUUUUAUAUGGGAAUAAAAUGUUCCACGUGUGGGAUUUUGUAUGUACCAUAUGAAUAAGGAUCGGCUAACUCCGUGCCAGCAGCCGCGGUAAUACGGAGGAUCCGAGCGUUAUCCGGCUUUAUUGGGUUUAAAGGGAGCGUAGAUGGAUUGUUAAGUCAGUUGUGAAAGUUUGCGGCUCAACCGUAAAAUUGCAGUUGAUACUGGCAGUCUUGAGUACAGUAGAGGUGGGCGGAAUUCGUGGUGUAGCGGUGAAAUGCUUAGAUAUCACGAAGAACUCCGAUUGCGAAGGCAGUUCACUGGACUGCAACUGACACUGAUGCUCGAAAGUGUGGGUAUCAAACAGGAUUAGAUACCCGUGUAGUC
Molecule: ribosomal RNA, 460 nt
Filed under: uncultured bacterium
Lineage: Bacteria
Description: partial 16S ribosomal RNA
Rfam family: Bacterial small subunit ribosomal RNA
Source: RNAcentral